UAACAGCUGGGAGUUAGGUGGGGUCAUGUAGCUCUGUUAUAACAGCUGGGAGUUAGGUGGGGUCAUGUAGCUCUGUUAUAACAGCUGGGAGUUAGGUGGGGUCAUGUAGCUCUGUUAUAACAGCUGGGAGUUAGGUGGGGUCAUGUAGCUCUGUUAUAACAGCUGGGAGUUAGGUGGGGUCAUGUAGCUCUGUUAUAACAGCUGGGAGUUAGGUGGGGUCAUGUAGCUCUGUUAUAACAGCUGGGAGUUAGGUGGGGUCAUGUAGCUCUGUUAUAACAGCUGGGAGUUAGGUGGGGUCAUGUAGCUCUGUUAUAACAGCUGGGAGUUAGGUGGGGUCAUGUAGCUCUGUUAUAACAGCUGGGAGUUAGGUGGGGUCAUGUAGCUCUGUUAUAACAGCUGGGAGUUAGGUGGGGUCAUGUAGCUCUGUUAUAACAGCUGGGAGUUAGGUGGGGUCAUGUAGCUCUGUUAUAACAGCUGGGAGUUAGGUGGGGUCAUGUAGCUCUGUUAUAACAGCUGGGAGUUAGGUGGGGUCAUGUAGCUCUGUUAUAACAGCUGGGAGUUAGGUGGGGUCAUGUAGCUCUGUUAUAACAGCUGGGAGUUAGGUGGGGUCAUGUAUCUCUGUUC
This is a long non-coding RNA of Oncorhynchus keta (chum salmon), 624 nucleotides long. RefSeq lists it as uncharacterized. The transcript has 3 exons. Lineage: Eukaryota; Metazoa; Chordata; Actinopteri; Salmoniformes; Salmonidae. The record is from RefSeq and is a predicted model, not a curated record.